Molecule: long non-coding RNA, 369 nt
Filed under: Lathyrus oleraceus (garden pea)
Lineage: Eukaryota; Viridiplantae; Streptophyta; Magnoliopsida; Fabales; Fabaceae
Description: Pisum sativum (pea) long non-coding RNA (PSAT_LNC037972)
Source: RNAcentral
GACGAAGAUGAUGUUGAAGGGAUUCCUGACGAGAUUUCCCGACUUCUUGAGCAAGAAAAGAAGAUCACACUCAGCUGCAUCUCGAGAAUCAGCAGAACAGCCAACUGGGGCAUUAUCAAAAGAAAAAAAAAGAGAAAAAAAGAAAAAAAGAAAGAGGAGGGUGCAAAAUCAAAAGAAAUCAAAAGAAAGCAAAAUCAAAAGCAAAAUCAAAAGCAAAAUCAAAAGAAAAAAAAAACAAAAGAAAGAUAGCACCCUCAAAGUCCCAAGUUGACUGAUGCUGAAUCCAGCUGAAAAAAAAAAAAAAAGAGAUUAACUGCCAUGUGUCAUGGUCAGUUAUAUCAGUAGAGAGUGAAGAAAGCACGCGUUAAG